GAUGAAGAACGUAGCGAAAUGCGAUACGUAGUGUGAAUUGCAGAAUCCCGUGAACCAUCGAGUCUUUGAACGCAAGUUGCGCCCGAAGCCAUUAGGCCGAGGGCACGCCUGCCUGGGCGUCACACGUCGUUGCCCCCCCAUCUACUCCUUCGGGAUUGCGGGGGGCGGAUGAUGGCCUCCCGUGCGCCUCGUCGCGCGGUUGGCAUAAAUGCCAAGUCCUCGGCGACGCACGCCACGACAAUCGGUGGUUGCGAAACCUCGGUUGCCCGUCGUGUGCGGUCGUCGCGCAUCGAGGGCUCGAAAAAAUUGCCGGGCUCCGGCUCGGCUUUCAACGCGACCCCAGGUCAGGCGGGGUUACCCGCUGAAUUUAAGCAUAUCAAUAAGCGGAGGA
This 391-nucleotide unclassified non-coding RNA is filed under the name soil metagenome. RNAcentral's name for it is "partial contains 5.8S ribosomal RNA, internal transcribed spacer 2, and large subunit ribosomal RNA". The stretch from base 1 to 122 matches the Rfam family "5.8S ribosomal RNA", at positions 35 to 154 of the family's 154-position model. The record is from RNAcentral.